AUUGAACGCUGGCGGCAGGCUUAACACAUGCAAGUCGAGCGGGGUGAUGGUGCUUGCACUAUGACUUAGCGGCGGACGGGGGAGUAAUGCUUAGGAAUCAGCCUAUUAGUGGGGGACAACAUCUCGAAAGGUGUGUUAAUACUGAAUAGGUCCAAAGGGAGAAAGCAGGGGAUCACUAGUGACCUUGAGCUAAUAGAUGAGCCUAAGUCUGAUUAGCUAGUUGGUGGGGUAAAGGCCUACCAAGGCGACGAUCUGUAGCGGGUCGGAGAGGAUGAUCGGCCACACUGGGAGUGAGAAACGGCCGAGACUCCUACGGGAGGAAGCAGUGGGGAAUAUUGGGGAAUGGGGGGAACAUUGAUCCACCCAUGCCGCGUGUGGGAAGAAGGCCUUAUGGUUGUAAAGCACUUUAAGCGAGGAGGAGGCUCUUUUGGUUAAUACCCAAGAUGAGUGAACGUUACUCGCAGAAUAAGCACCGGCUAACUCUGUGCCAGCAGCCGCCGUAA
This 503-nucleotide ribosomal RNA is filed under the name uncultured bacterium. RNAcentral's name for it is "partial 16S ribosomal RNA". It matches the Rfam family "Bacterial small subunit ribosomal RNA", at positions 30 to 523 of the family's 1533-position model. The record is from RNAcentral.